This 245-nucleotide ribosomal RNA is filed under the name uncultured bacterium. Its description in RNAcentral is "partial 16S ribosomal RNA". It matches the Rfam family "Bacterial small subunit ribosomal RNA", at positions 524 to 768 of the family's 1533-position model. The record is from RNAcentral.
UACGUAGGGGGCUAGCGUUGUCCGGAAUCAUUGGGCGUAAAGAGCGCGUAGGCGGCCAGAUAAGUCCGGUGUGAAAGUCACAGGCUCAACCUGUGAAUGCCGCUGGAAACUGUCUGGCUAGAGUCCGGGAGGGGCGAGUGGAAUUCCUGGUGUAGCGGUGAAAUUCGUAGAUAUUAGGAAGAACACCAGUGGCGAAGGCGGCUCACUGGUCCGGUACUGACGCUGAGGUGCGAAAGCGUGGGGAG